UAGUGUUACAGCUCUUUCAGAAUCUGUCUAGGAGGCUUUCCAGUUUUUGCAGGAAAGUCUCC
Small nuclear RNA from Colobus angolensis palliatus, 62 nucleotides. Its record names the gene U7. It matches the Rfam family "U7 small nuclear RNA". From Rfam's summary of the family: Animal histone pre-mRNAs are spliced by a different mechanism than nuclear pre-mRNAs and self-splicing introns. This processing involves the U7 snRNP, which contains only one RNA species: U7. The record is from Ensembl. NCBI's taxonomy places the organism in Eukaryota, Metazoa, Chordata, Mammalia, Primates, Cercopithecidae.